AAUAUGAAGGCGGGCUGGAACCUCUCGGGGUUACAGCCUUGCUGAAUUAUUCACCCUUGUCUUUUGCGUACUUCUUGUUUCCUUGGUGGGUUCGCCCACCACUAGGACAAACAUAAACCUUUUGUAAUUGCAAUCAGCGUCAGUAACAAAUUAAUAAUUACAACUUUCAACAACGGAUCUCUUGGUUCUGGCAUCGAUGAAGAACGCAGCGAAAUGCGAUAAGUAGUGUGAAUUGCAGAAUUCAGUGAAUCAUCGAAUCUUUGAACGCACAUUGCGCCCUUUGGUAUUCCAAAGGGCAUGCCUGUUCGAGCGUCAUUUGUACCCUCAAGCUUUGCUUGGUGUUGGGCGUCUUGUCUCUAGCUUUGCUGGAGACUCGCCUUAAAGUAAUUGGCAGCCGGCCUACUGGUUUCGGAGCGCAGCACAAGUCGCACUCUCUAUCAGCAAAGGUCUAGCAUCCAUUAAGCCUUUUUUUCAACUUUUGACCUCGGAUCAG
RNAcentral lists this ribosomal RNA (493 nucleotides) under Alternaria alternata. Its description in RNAcentral is "eukaryotic LSU rRNA". The stretch from base 162 to 315 matches the Rfam family "5.8S ribosomal RNA". Lineage: Eukaryota; Fungi; Ascomycota; Dothideomycetes; Pleosporales; Pleosporaceae. The record is from RNAcentral.